GGGCCCGCACAAGCGGUGGAGCAUGUGGUUUAAUUCGAUGAUACGCGAGGAACCUUACCAGGACUUAAAUGCAUAACGAUCGGUUGAGAAAUCAACUUUUCUUCGGACGGUAUGCAAGGUGCUGCAUGGUUGUCGUCAGCUCGUGCCGUGAGGUGUCAGGUUAAGUCCUAUAACGAGCGCAACCCCUAUUCUUAGUUGCCAGCGGUUCGGCCGGGGACUCUAAGAAAACUGCCAGCGCAAGCUGUGAGGAAGGUGGGGAUGACGUCAAAUCAUCACGGCCCUUACGUCCUGGGCCACACACGUGCUACAAUGGUAGGUACAAAGGGCAGCCACUUGGCGACAAGGAGCUAAUCUCUAAAACCUAUCUCAGUUCGGAUUGGAGUCUGCAACUCGACUCUAUGAAGCUGGAAUCGCUAGUAA
Molecule: ribosomal RNA, 420 nt
Filed under: uncultured bacterium
Lineage: Bacteria
Description: bacterial SSU rRNA
Rfam family: Bacterial small subunit ribosomal RNA
Source: RNAcentral